RNAcentral lists this ribosomal RNA (449 nucleotides) under uncultured bacterium. Its description in RNAcentral is "partial 16S ribosomal RNA". It matches the Rfam family "Bacterial small subunit ribosomal RNA", at positions 29 to 523 of the family's 1533-position model. The record is from RNAcentral.
AACGAACGCUGGCGGCAUGCCUAAUACAUGCAAGUCGAACGAGAUCUUCGGAUCUAGUGGCGCACGGGUGCGUAACGCGUGGGAAUCUGCCCUUUGGUUCGGAAUAACUUCUGGAAACGGAAGCUAAUACCGGAUGAUGACGUAAGUCCAAAGAUUUAUCGCCAGAGGAUGAGCCCGCGUAGGAUUAGCUAGUUGGUGAGGUAAAGGCUCACCAAGGCUACGAUCCUUAGCUGGUCUGAGAGGAUGAUCAGCCACACUGGGACUGAGACACGGCCCAGACCCCUACGGGAGGCAGCAGUAGGGAAUAUUGGACAAUGGGCGCAAGCCUGAUCCAGCAAUGCCGCGUGAGCGAUGUAGGCCUUAGGGUUGUAAAGCUCUUUUACCCGGGAUGAUAAUGACAGGACCGGGAGAAUAAGCCCCGGCUAACUCCGUGCCAGCCGCCGCGGUAA